GACGAACGCUGGCGGCGUGCCUAAUACAUGCAAGUCGAGCGAACCAAUAAGAAGCUUGCUUUUUGUUGGUUAGCGGCGGACGGGUGAGUAACACGUGGGUAACCUGCCUGUAAGACCGGGAUAACUCCGGGAAACCGGUGCUAAUACCGGAUAGAUUAUCUUUCCGCAUGGAGAGAUAAGGAAAGAUGGCUAUUGCCAUCACUUACAGAUGGGCCCGCGGCGCAUUAGCUAGUUGGUGAGGUAACGGCUCACCAAGGCGACGAUGCGUAGCCGACCUGAGAGGAUGAUCAGCCACACUGGGACUGAGACACGGCCCAGACUCCUACGGGAGGCAGCAGUAGGGAAUCUUCCGCAAUGGGCGAAAGUCUGACGGAGCAACGCCGCGUGAGCGAAGAAGGUCUUCGGAUCGUAAAGCUCUGUUGUUAGGGAAGAACAAGUAUCGGAGGAAAUGCCGGUACCUUGACGGUACCUGACGAGAAAGCCACGGCUAACUACGUG
This 498-nucleotide ribosomal RNA is filed under the name uncultured bacterium. RNAcentral describes it as "partial 16S ribosomal RNA". It matches the Rfam family "Bacterial small subunit ribosomal RNA", at positions 28 to 507 of the family's 1533-position model. The record is from RNAcentral.